AUACGGAGGGUGCAAGCGUUAAUCGGAAUUACUGGGCGUAAAGAGUACGUAGGUGGUUUGUUAAGUCAGAUGUGAAAGCCCCGGGCUCAACCUGGGAACUGCAUUUGAAACUGGCAAACUAGAGUAUGGUAGAGGGGGGUAGAAUUUCUAGUGUAGCGGUGAAAUGCGUAGAUAUUAGAAGGAAUACCAGUGGCGAAGGCGGCCCCCUGGACCAAUACUGACACUGAGGUACGAAAGCGUGGGGAGCAAACAGGAUUAGAAACCCUAGUAGUCC
This 274-nucleotide ribosomal RNA is filed under the name uncultured bacterium. RNAcentral describes it as "partial 16S ribosomal RNA". It matches the Rfam family "Bacterial small subunit ribosomal RNA", at positions 523 to 796 of the family's 1533-position model. The record is from RNAcentral.